RNAcentral lists this ribosomal RNA (426 nucleotides) under uncultured bacterium. Its description in RNAcentral is "bacterial SSU rRNA". It matches the Rfam family "Bacterial small subunit ribosomal RNA", at positions 506 to 930 of the family's 1533-position model. The record is from RNAcentral.
UGCCAGCAGCCGCGGUAAUACGUAGGGGGCGAGCGUUGUCCGGAUUUAUUGGGCGUAAAGGGCGUGUAGGCGGCUCAUUAAGUCCGAAGUGAAAACUCGGGGCUCAACCCCGAGCCUGCUUCGGAUACUGGAGAGCUUGAGUGCUCUAGAGGGCAGUGGAAUUCCCGGUGUAGCAGUGAAAUGCGUAGAGAUCGGGAGGAACACCAGUGGCGAAGGCGACUGCCUGGGGAGUAACUGACGCUGAGGCGCGAAAGCUGGGGGAGCAAACGGGAUUAGAUACCCCGGUAGUCCCAGCCGUAAACGAUGAGUGCUAGGUGUAGCGGGUAUCGACCCCCGCUGUGCCGGAGUUAACGCAAUAAGCACUCCGCCUGGGGAGUACGGCCGCAAGGUUGAAACUCAAAGGAAUUGACGGGGGCCCGCACAAGC